AAUUGGAAUGAUACAGAGAAGAUUAGCAUGGCCCCUGUGCAAGGAUGACAGGGAAAUUCAUGUAGUGUUCAAAGAAAAG
This 79-nucleotide small nuclear RNA is filed under the name Microtus ochrogaster (prairie vole). The record is from RNAcentral. Lineage: Eukaryota; Metazoa; Chordata; Mammalia; Rodentia; Cricetidae.